RNAcentral lists this ribosomal RNA (253 nucleotides) under uncultured bacterium. RNAcentral describes it as "partial 16S ribosomal RNA". It matches the Rfam family "Bacterial small subunit ribosomal RNA", at positions 524 to 776 of the family's 1533-position model. The record is from RNAcentral.
UACGUAGGGUGCGAGCGUUGUCCGGAAUCAUUGGGCGUAAAGGGCUCGUAGGCGGUCUGUUGCGUCGGGAGUGAAAACUUACAGCUUAACUGUGAGCGUGCUUCCGAUACGGGCAGACUUGAGGUAUUCAGGGGAGAACGGAAUUCCUGGUGUAGCGGUGAAAUGCGCAGAUAUCAGGAGGAACACCGGUGGCGAAGGCGGUUCUCUGGGAAUAUCCUGACGCUGAGGAGCGAAAGUGUGGGGAGCGAACAGG